UACGUAGGGGGCAAGCGUUGUCCGGAUUUAUUGGGCGUAAAGAGCGUGUAGGCGGCUUUACAGGUCCGUUGUGAAAACUCGAGGCUCAACCUCGAGACGCCGGUGGAAACCGUAAGGCUAGAGUCCGGAAGAGGAGAGUGGAAUUCCUGGUGUAGCGGUGAAAUGCGCAGAUAUCAGGAAGAACACCCGUGGCGAAGGCGGCUCUCUGGGACGGUACUGACGCUGAGACGCGAAAAGCGUGGGGAGCAAACAGG
RNAcentral lists this ribosomal RNA (254 nucleotides) under uncultured bacterium. RNAcentral's name for it is "partial 16S ribosomal RNA". It matches the Rfam family "Bacterial small subunit ribosomal RNA", at positions 524 to 776 of the family's 1533-position model. The record is from RNAcentral.